This 406-nucleotide ribosomal RNA is filed under the name uncultured bacterium. Its description in RNAcentral is "partial 16S ribosomal RNA". It matches the Rfam family "Bacterial small subunit ribosomal RNA", at positions 30 to 526 of the family's 1533-position model. The record is from RNAcentral.
AUUGAACGCUGGCGGCAGGCCUAACACAUGCAAGUCGAACGAGUGGCGGACGGGUGAGUAAUGUCUGGGAAACUGCCCGAUGGAGGGGGAUAACUACUGGAAACGGUAGCUAAUACCGCAUACCAUCGGAUGUGCCCAGAUGGGCUUAGCUAGUCGGUGGGGUAACGGCUCACCUAGGCGACGAUCCCUAGCUGGUCUGAGAGGAUGACCAGCCACACUGGAACUGAGACACGGUCCAGACUCCUACGGGAGGCAGCAGUGGGGAAUCUUGCGCAAUGGGCGAAAGCCUGACGGAGCCAUGCCGCGUGUGUGAGGAAGGUCUUCGGAUUGUAAAGUUCUGUCAUUAGGUAGGCGGUACCUGCAGAAGAAGCGCCGGCUAACUACGUGCCAGCAGCCGCGGUAAUUC